RNAcentral lists this ribosomal RNA (480 nucleotides) under uncultured bacterium. RNAcentral's name for it is "bacterial SSU rRNA". It matches the Rfam family "Bacterial small subunit ribosomal RNA", at positions 28 to 507 of the family's 1533-position model. The record is from RNAcentral.
GACGAACGCUGGCGGCGUGCCUAACACAUGCAAGUCAACUUGACUGAAGGAACAAUCUGACAGUAGAGUGGCGCAAGGGUGCGUAACGCGUAAGUAACUUGCCCCAAGGUGAGGAAUAACGUCGAGAAAUCGGCGCUAAUACCUCAUAAUGCAGCGGAUCCGCAUGGAUAUGUUGUUAAAGGUUUACCGCCUUGGGAUAGGCUUGCGUCUGAUUAGUUAGUUGGUGUGGUAACGGCACACCAAGGCUACGAUCAGUAACUGGUCUGAGAGGAUGAUCAGUCACACUGGAACUGAGACACGGUCCAGACUCCUACGGGAGGCAGCAGUGAGGAAUAUUGGGCAAUGCUCGAAAGAGUGACCCAGCAACGCCGCGUGGAGGAUGAAGGUAUUCUAUAUCGUAAACUCCUGUGAGAGCAGACGAAAGACAGAUUAUUAAUCUGGAUGACUGUAUGCUCAGAGGAAGCCCCGGCUAACUACGUG